AUUGAACGCUGGCGGCAUGCCUUACACAUGCAAGUCGAACGGCAGCACGGGGGCAACCCUGGUGGCGAGUGGCGAACGGGUGAGUAAUGCAUCGGAACGUGCCCAGUAGUGGGGGAUAACUAGUCGAAAGAUUAGCUAAUACCGCAUACGACCUAUGGGUGAAAGCGGGGGAUUCGCAAGAACCUCGCGCUAUCGGAGCGGCCGAUGUCUGAUUAGCUAGNGGCGGGGUAAAGCCCACCAAGGCUUCGAUCAGUAGCUGGUCUGAGAGGACGACCAGCCACACUGGGACUGAGACACGGCCCAGACUCCUACGGGAGGCAGCAGUGGGGAAUUUUGGACAAUGGGCGCAAGCCUGAUCCAGCCAUGCCGCGUGC
RNAcentral lists this ribosomal RNA (374 nucleotides) under uncultured bacterium. RNAcentral's name for it is "bacterial SSU rRNA". It matches the Rfam family "Bacterial small subunit ribosomal RNA", at positions 30 to 404 of the family's 1533-position model. The record is from RNAcentral.